GANUAAUCGUGAAACCGCGAAUGGCUCAUUAUAACAGCUAUAAUUUACUUGAUCUUGACACAAUCCUACUUGGAUAACUGUGGUAAUUCUAGAGCUAAUACAUGCAUUAAAGCUCUGACCUCACGGGAAGAGUGCAUUUAUUAGAACAAAACCAAGCGGCUUCGGCUGUUUCUGGUUGACUCAUAGUAACUGAGCUGAUCGCAUGGUCUUGCACCGGCGACGUGUCUUUCAAGUAUCUGCCGUAUCAACUUUCGAUGGUAGUGUAUCUGACUACCAUGGUGAUCACGCGUAACGGAGAAUAAGGGUUCGGCUCCGGAGAGUUCGCCUGAGAAAUCGCGAACACAUCUAAGGAAGGCAGCAGGCGCGAAAAUUACCCACUCUCAGCACGAGGAGGUAGUGACGAAAAAUAACGAGACCGUUCUCUUAUGAGGCCGGUCAUCGGAAUGGGUACAAUUUAAACCCUUUAACGAGUAUCUAUGAGAGGGCAAGUCUGGUGCCAGCAGCCGCGGUAAUUCCAGCUCUCAAAGUG
This 529-nucleotide ribosomal RNA is filed under the name unidentified nematode Sourhope farm. Its description in RNAcentral is "SSU rRNA". It matches the Rfam family "Eukaryotic small subunit ribosomal RNA", at positions 73 to 599 of the family's 1831-position model. Lineage: Eukaryota; Metazoa; Nematoda. The record is from RNAcentral.